This 35507-nucleotide long non-coding RNA is filed under the name Populus trichocarpa (black cottonwood). RNAcentral's name for it is "long non-coding RNA (PTRI_LNC004300)". Lineage: Eukaryota; Viridiplantae; Streptophyta; Magnoliopsida; Malpighiales; Salicaceae. The record is from RNAcentral.
UUGCUCCAUUGGUAAUUGAUUGUGCCUUGAUUUCUGCAGCUGCCAUGACAGAGCCAGAGUCUUCUCGAUCUAGACCAGAAGGGGCCUAUGAUGUCUUCUUGAGUUUUAGAGGAGAAGACACUCGCAAGACAUUUACAGAUCAUCUAUAUACUGCCUUGGUCCAAGCAGGAAUCCACACUUUUCGAGAUGAUGAUGAACUUCCGAGAGGAGAAGAAAUCUCCGAUCAUCUCCUCAGGGCAAUUCAGGAAUCAAAGAUAUCCAUAGUUGUUUUCUCAAAAGGAUAUGCUUCUUCUAGAUGGUGUCUCAAUGAACUUGUAGAGAUUCUUAAGUGCAAAAAUAGGAAAACCGGUCAGAUUGUUCUUCCUAUAUUCUAUGACAUUGAUCCUUCAUAUGUGAGAAAACAGGAUGGCAGUUUUGCAGAAGCAUUUGUUAAACAUGAAGAGCGUUUUGAAGAGAAGUUGGUGAAGGAGUGGAGAAAAGCUCUUGAGGAGGCUGGAAAUCUAUCUGGAUGGAAUCUCAAUGAUAUGGCAAAUGGGUAUGCCUUUUUUCUCUAAGAUUCACUUGCACACAUUUAUGGAGUCAAUAUACUUUACAUUUUUCAAUGUGAAACAAUAAAAUACUUAAUUGACUCGCUAUCAAUGACUUGCUUUUGUCUAUGAGCAGGCAUGAAGCAAAAUUUAUCGAAGGGAUUAUCAAAGAUGUGUUGAAUAAAUUAGAUCCCAAGUACUUGUAUGUUCCUGAGCACCUAGUAGGUAUGGAUCGGGUUGCUCACAAUAUUUAUGACUUUCUAAGUACUGCAACAGAUGAUGUACGCAUUGGGGGCAUGCAUGGGAUGCCAGGAAUAGGAAAGACGACUAUAGCAAAAGUUGUAUUUAAUAAACUCUGCUAUGGAUUCGAGGGAAGCUGUUUUCUUUCGGAUAUCAAUGAAAGGUCAAAACAAGUUAAUGGUCUUGUUCCUUUACAAAAGCAACUUCUUCACGAUAUUUUAAAACAGGAUGUUGCAAACUUCGAUUGUGCUGAUAGAGGAAAGGUUCUGAUCAAAGAGCGACUUCGUCGCAAAAGAGUUCUUGUUGUUGCUGAUGACGUGGCUCAUCUGGACCAGCUGAAUGCAUUGAUGGGAGAUCGAAGUUGGUUUGGUCCCGGAAGUAGAGUAAUUAUUACAACAAGAUAUUCAAGUUUACUUCGUGAAGCAGAUCAAACAUAUCAGAUCAAAGAAUUGGAACCAGAUGAGUCCCUUCAGCUUUUCAGCAGGCAUGCCUUUAAGGACUCCAAGCCAGCAAAAGAUUAUAUUAAGCUUUCGAAGGAUGCAGUUGAUUACUGUGGAGGACUUCCUUUAGCUCUUGAGGUUAUAGGAGCUCUUCUGUACAGGAAAAACAGAGGUGAAUGGGAAAGUGAAAUUGACAACUUGAGCAGAAUUCCAAACCAAGAUAUUCAAGGAAAACUUCUAAUAAGUUAUCACGCACUUGAUGGUGAACUACAAAGAGCAUUCCUUGAUAUUGCAUGCUUCUUUAUUGGUAUAGAGAAAGAAUACGUCGCAAAAGUGCUAGGAGCCCGUUGCCGUCUCAAUCCAGAAGUUGUUUUGAAAACUCUCCGUGAAAGGUCUCUGAUUCAAUUUCAUUGGUGUAACAUUAAAGAUGAAAGGCAGUUAUUUGGAGAGAUGGUAGCCAUGCAUGAUCUAUUACGAGACAUGGGAAGGGAGGUCGUUUGUAAUGCGUCUCCCUUGCAUCUUGGAAAAAGGACCAGAAUUUGGAAUAAAGACGAUGCAUGGAAUGUACUUGACCACCAGAAGGUAAGAGCUCAAUGCAUACACGAAAGCAUAGUCAUGCGUAUUUUCUAGUCACACUUAUUACAAAUAAUUGUAUGAAAGUUGUAUUGUUUUUCUUUUAGGGUACGGAUGUUGUAGAGGGUCUUGCACUGGAUGUCAGAGCAUCAGAAGCUAAAUCACUUGGCGGAGGAUCAUUUGCAGAAAUGAAAUUCUUAAAUUUACUCCAAAUCAAUGGAGUACAUCUCACCGGAUCCUUCAAACUGCUUUCUAAAGAGUUGAUGUGGAUUUGUUGGCAUGAAUGUCCUUUGAAAUAUUUUCCAUCUAAUUUUACUUUAGACAAUCUAGUUGUUCUUGAUAUGCAGCACAGUAACCUCAAAGAAUUAUGGAAGGAAAAAAAGGUACGAAACAUGCUACAAUCCCCAAAAUUUCUCCAAUAUGUAAUUUAUAUUUACAUGUAAUGACUUUCUAUGAUUAAUUUUCAUUAUUUUGCUCUCUAUCAUGAUAGAUGCUCGACAAACUAAAAAUCCUUGAUCUCAGUCAUUCUCAGCACCUUAUUAAAACACCAAACUUGCACAGUUCAAGUCUAGAGAAACUAAUUCUGGAAGGUUGCUCGAGUUUAGUUGAGGUGCAUCAAUCAAUUGAAAAUUUGACGAGCCUCGUUUUCUUGAAUCUGGAGGGAUGUUGGAGGCUGAAGAUUCUCCCUGAAAGCUUUGCCAAUGUAAAGUCUCUUAAAUGUUUGAAUAUUUCUGGGUGUUUACAACUUGAGAAAUUACCAGAACGCAUGGGUGAUAUGGAAUCCUUAACCAAGCUUCUAGCUUAUGGGAUUGAAAAUGAGCAAUUUCUCUCUUCAAUUGGACAAUUAAAGUAUGUUGGAACUUUAUCAUUGCGUGGAUGCAGUUCGGCUCCACCAAGUUCUUCUUUGAUUUCAACAGGUGUUUUGAAUUGGAAACGUUGGCUGCCAGCAUCUUUCAUUGAAUGGAUAUCAGUAAAACAUCUUAAGCUUUCUAAUUGUGGUUUGUCUGAUCGCGCAACUAACUGUGUUGAUUUCAGUGGUUUGUCUGCUCUAGAGUAUUUGAAUCUAGAUGGAAACAAAUUCUCUAGUCUUCCUACUGGGCUCGGCUUCCUUCCCUAUCUAUUAACGUUGAUUGUCGAUGCAUGCAAAUAUCUUGUAUCAAUCCCAGAUCUUCCCUCACGUUUAUGCAUUUUGCAUGCAAAUCAUUGCAAAUCAUUGAAAAGAGUAAGAAUACCAAUCGAGCGAGAAGAAGAACUAUGUAUACAACUAGGGGGAAGUCAUUCGUUAGAAGAGAUACAGGGCAUCGAAAGUCUAAGUAAUAGUUUCUGGUAUGUUUGUGUUGGUGAGCACAGUCAUUCACCAAAUAAAUUUCAGAAGAGCGUUGUUGAGGUACUAUUUCUUUCAAUCUCUUUUGCACAAGAAGAAACACACAAUUGGCACAUAUAUUGAUUAAUAUCUAAAAUCUCAGCAUUACUUGAAAUCAAUAUGUAUACAGGCAAUAAUCAUUAUUAUUAUUAUUUUAUUUUAAAAAAAUAAAUAUCAUCUUUAAUAACAUUUUUUAUUUUUCUUAUUUAAUCUAAAAAAAUAAAUAUCAUCUUUAAUAAUAUUUUUUAUUAAAUUUAAAGUCUGAUUGGUUUUAUUUUUUAUUUCUUGAUUUUAUGAUAAUAUAUUUAUACAGGCAAUGUGCAACGGUCGUGACCCGUAUUGUAUUGCCAACAUUCCUGGUAAGAUGCCAAAUUGGAUGAGCUACAGGGGAGAAGGAUGCUCAUUGUCAUUCCAUAUACCUCCAGUCUUCCAAGGCUUAGUUCUUUGGUUUCAUAAGGAUUCUCAUUGUCACUUCCACAUUGACAUUAUUAUUAUUAUAAGAAAUAAAAGCAACGGUAUUCAAUUGUUUGAAGAAAAACAAUUACCAAUAGACACGGUACGUGGAAGGGUGGGAUGGACAAGAUACAUAAGUAGAAGUGAAAUGGCAAUGGAAGAUUACUGUGGAGAUGACGAAUUGGAACUAUACGUAUAUUCAAAGCCAUCAAUACUUGCGGUGUACAGAGGUUGGCAAUUAAAACCCGGACACAUUAAAGAAUAUGGGGUCCAUGUGAUCGCAGGGAAGUCAGAUUCAUUUGAAGAGUCGGCAGUGGGAAGAGAUGCAGUGAUGCCUUCACCACCGCUGUAUCAUCUGCUUCCUCAUCCCCAUUGUGGUUCGAUUACAGCGUCUACACCUAAGCAAUGGAGUGACUAUUUAUCUGCGAAGCUAGAAGGACAUAGCCUCGAUUUAAGACUUGAUGGUGAGAACAAAUAUUUCAUUUAGUUAUUUUUAUUCUAUUAUAUUUAAUUUAUGAGAUUAAAUAUUAUCUUUAAUGAUUUUAUUAUUAUUAUUUAAUCUAAAAAAUUAAAUAUCAUCUUUAAUAAAAAAAUAUUAAAUAUUUAAGGCUUUUUGGUAAGAAUACAUAUUUCCUUUAGUUAUUUCUAUUUUAUUCUAUUUAAUUUAAGAGAUUAAAUAUCAUCUUUAAUUCUUACAUUUUUCUUAUUUAAUCUAAAAAAUUAAAUAUUAUCUUUAACAAUAUUUUUUAUUAAAUAUUUAGAGUUUGCUUGGUUUUAUUUCUUUUCUUGAUUUUAUAAUAAUAUUUUUCUUAUUUAAUAUAAAAAAUAAAUAUUAUCUUUAACAAUUAGAUCUAUCGAAUAUCACUUAAAAAUAAAUUAUAACUUUAAUAAUUAUUUUUUGAAAAACAAAAGGCCAACAAUCACUAACAUAUUUUAUUAAAAUCACUUUAGUUUAUAUAGAAAAUAUUGAAAACUGAUUUUUGUUUUUUUACAUUAAAAUAAAAAAUUGAAUAAUGUUUUUAUAUUUUAUUUCAAACUCGAUAUUUUAAAACAAAAAUGAAAAAGAUGUGAUAUUAACAUUUUUUAUUAUAAAGUAAGUUUUUUAAUUAAAAGUGAUGGGAAUUUGUUUUUAUUGCAUGUACAAUCAUGCACAUUUAACUUUCUUUUUAAAUUUGAUGGUUUUUUAGGACGGAAAUGGCUUGAAGGUGGUGAAGGCUUUGAUUGACAUGAGAGUACAAGAUUAGUUUACAUAGAGAUGCUUGAAGUUGCUCCAAAUCAGUACGAUACUUUCAUCUGACAUGUUGAUAUGUAUUUGUUGGCUUGAAGAUUAUUUUCCAAGCUUGGAAGUUUUAUUGAAUUCUCUUUGAAAUCUUUUCCAUCCGCUGGACAACUUAUAUUAUUAUGCAUGAUGUAAUUUAUAUUUUCAAGUUACAAAUUUUGAUGAAUAUUGUUUCAUUUUUUUCCUCAUUUCAAAAGAUGAAAAUCCUUGAUCUUAGUUAGAAAUAAAUUGGUUUUCUAGGAAGAGAUUAUUGAUUGGAAUAUAGUAUUUGAAUUGGUUCUUCAUCAUUUACUGUUAUAUAUAAUUUAAAAUAAUUGAUGAAAAUACAUAGAAAAGUUUUGAGAGCAUCCUUAAUUAGUCUAGUAAGUAAAGUGUUGUUAGUUUUGACUAUAAGAUCUUGCUAUGUAUUAUUGCAUGGUUUUUACUAUUUUUUUGCAUUUCUUCUUUUUGUAUAUACAACUUUUGUUUUUCUUGCCGCUUGUCAUUAGCUUUAUGGCACCAACACCAAUUAAUAAUAAAUCUUGAACUAUUAUUAAAUAAAGAAAAAAUAUAAAUAUCGUUAAAAUACCAAACUUGAAUUGCUCAAUCCUAAAGAAACCCUAUGACAAUAAUCUAAUUUAGAAAAUAAUUAAUUUAUCCUUGUAGUCUAAGAAAAUAGUAUUUAAUUCUUAUGUUUUCAUAUACAUCUAUGAUUUAAUAUGUUGAUUGAAAUUGGCAAGUGAGUUUACUCACGUAUUGUUAUAUUGGUUUUGAGUUCAAAUAAAUGUUUAAAAAGGGAGUUUUUUCAUGAAUGUAACCCUUCAAUAUAUGAAUGUUUAAAAUUGUAUUCAAUAUGAAUGAUGGAUGAUUUUGCUAAGAAUUGGUUGGUAAAAAACUUAAUUUCGAUAUAUAAAAACUUAAGAGACAACAAUAAAUAGAGAGACUAGUAAAGAUUUUAUGUGCUUUCUUGUUUUUUUUUUUUAAUUGGAUUACCUUUGUCUUUUGUUUCAAGUAAAAUUCUAGUAUAUAUCACUAAAUUAAGAAUUAAAGGUCUAAUUAUAUGAAACACAAUUUUAAAGACUACAUCAACUACAUUUCAUAUGCUCAACUCUAAGCAAAUUGAAAUUUCAAGGCCAUUUGUAUCUUGAAAACACAAUCUCAAUAAUCUUAAUAUUGAAUUAUUAUUUGUUGAGUUGGAAAAUAGCACUAAGGAACACAAAAGCCGUACUGUUUAUCUUCUUGGCAUUGUUCAAAGGAACGCAAAAAGAUACUCCAAUUGUGAAAGAUUAUUAUUGUCAUAAAGUAAAACUUUCAAUAUAGAGAGUGAAAUAAAGAGCAAGAGCAAAAAAAUAAUUCGUGUGUGUAUUAGCUAAAUGAAAUGAAGAUUAGAGUAAAAAGGAUAAAAAAAAAAAAAAAAAAUAGAGAGAGAGACUCGUUAAGAUUUUAUGUUGGUGCUCAACAUGUUCUUUCUUAUUUUUUUUUUUUUUUUAAUUUUAUCUUAACGAGUGAAAUAAAGAAACACUCCCCCCAUCUUUCUUGUUCCCUUUCCCUUCUUUACAUGGCUUACUCAGUGAAAAAGCAAUUAAACACCCCAUUUGAUUUUCAAUCAGUAUGAGAGUGAGAGAGAGAGAGGCCAAGGUGGUCCUUGAAUAUUUUCUUCUUUUUUGUCUCGCUCACUGGGGCAAACCAUUUUUUCCAAAAUUUUGAAUAGCAUGCGAUCAAAAAGAAUUUUGAAUAGCAUGCCAUCAAAAGGAAUUUUGUUCAAUCCCAAUCCCACAUUGUCUGUAGAAGUAUUUACUUUUGACUGUACACUUUGUUAUUUUCCAAUCCCUCCCCAGUUCUGCAACCAUUUCUCUACUUUCUAUGCUCUUGGCUUGCUAAAAACUAAAGAAAACACAUUGCUCUACUUGCCUGCCUUCACUCUUCAGAUUGCUCAACAAAUCCCUUGAGACCUUCUCCAUAGUUAACACAUCACAUAAUGGCUACUCUAAAAAAUUUAGCCAUAAACAUUGAACACCUUGAGCAAUCAACGUGCCUUCCUUCACAAUAUCCAUCACCCAUAAAUCUUUCUUUUGGGAUGUCGCCGGGAGUUUAAUUUCCGUGUAAAAAUUAUGUAUAAAUUUCCAUUCUUUCCUUCCAUCCAUUACUUGUCCUCUAUGAAGAUUCUAUGUAUGAAAUCUCGGAAUCUUUUCGAGUAUAACUUGGGAUCAACAGCUGAGAUAGACGUGGGAUCCACUUCUAAGGACUUGUAUGCAUGCUCUAGCUUUUUGCUGAUAUCAUAAUCCUAGAGAUACCAAAGUGAAGAACUACAUCUCACAAUCACCAAAAUUCAAAGUAAAGUAACGGAGAAGAAAAUCUGAUAACAAUGAAUGAUCACUCAUUAACCACAGCGAAUCUUACGCUUUGAAAACACUUUUCACCAUCAAUUUUCCUUUUCUCAUUGAUUUUAAAUCUUCCAGGCAGAUAAAAUAGCAUUGGUUUUAUUCAUCAGCUUAGGCAUCAACAACAUGUUGCAUCCACAAUCUUACUACUACAUUAUAAUUAUAAACAAAGCUAAAAAAAUAUAUAUAUGAGGACAGAGUUAACAGACAUGCACUAAGAGUUAACAGACAUGCACUAACACACACUGUGCAAAUCAGUGUACAGCUGUUAUAACAAACAAGUGUACAAUCUGUUUUCUCCAACCUUCCAGCAUUAUUCUCCCGAGCAUAUUCUGUCAGCUCAAGAUUAGGCAAUUCUGUUAACCAUUCUGUUAGCUCUGUUCUCUUUUGUUGUAUAUAUACUUGAUUGAUUGAUUGAUUCAAUAACAUUAUCUUUCUCUCUUCUCACCUGCCCCCUUUUUCUUCUCCUUUUACCUCUAGCUUCCAAUGCCUAUCAACACCACCAUCCUUAACACAAAUGAAUCUCACAGCAUGUUGAUUACCAUCAAUGUAGCAGCCCAAACUCCAUUAAAACUUAUCUCCACCAGGCACCAACUAUCUAGCCUGGAAACUUUGUUGGGGAUUCCGGCUCCCCCAUGCGCGGACCGGGGGUGUACUGAUAGUUGCUCAACGGAGGGUAAAGCACACUGAUACAAUAUUUUACGUGGUUCGGCAAAACCGCCUACAUCCACGGGAGAGUCCAUAUUAUUAGAGAUAUAUAGAGAAAGGAUUACAACAUACAUGGAGGAGGAGGAUCACUUCACUCAAACUCAAUUCCCAGCUCUUUUGCUACACUUACAGCUGCUGCAAUGGCAGCAGCCAUUGCAGCUCUCUCUUUCUCUCCACUCUCUUGCACACACUCACGUUCUCUCUCUCUCAUUUUUCUCUCAAAUAUAAGCCUCCUUUAUAGGCAUUUCAUGGUCAACAUGGAGGGGCCAAUAGCCUUAAAGCAUGGCAUGAAUUGUGGCACAAUUCAUGCUUCCACUUGCUUAGUGGUGGGGUAUUGCCACAAAUGGCAAUAUCCUAACAAUCACCCCCUUUGCCAUUUGUGUGGGCAAUUGUCCUCUUGCUUCUUCAGCACAGGCUUGCAUCUUGCAGCUCUUCCAAGCUUACCAUUCUGAGAGCGUCUUCAACACAACAUUCCCUUUCGAGUGUAUCAAUCAUGCUCGGUCCGGAAUGAUUUUUCAAGCCUUACACCAAGGCUUACAACACCCCCUCAAAUAGAUAUUUCUAAGUGCGACAGUCAUUUAGUAUUUCAAUGUGAUCACAAGCUCACCACUCUUCCAAGAGUCUACUCAUCCAAGAGUUGUGCCUGCCCUCUGUUCCACCCUAGGAACCACGUCUUACUUCUCCGUGAGUCUCUCGCUCUUAGUCGUAAGAGUCCAGGUAGCUCUCCACCUUUAACCAUAGGGGCAGCCCAUUAAAGGUUGAUUCAUAUCUGUCUUCAUACUCUGAGUAUUACAAUGCCAUUACCGAGCUCACCACCUUAACAAGAGUCAACUCGUUCUCGGAACCUGCGCAUGCCCUUCUGCUUCUUCAUAGCAGCCGCGUCUUAAUGCUCCACAAGUCACACACUUAUUGUCCAAGGCAAAUGUCUUCUAGCUCAUUGAUCUUUAGCAUGGGGGCAAUAUCCAUGAAAGUCAAUCCUGCAUUUGUCUCCAUACUCAUCAUAGCCACUUCAUUGGCUAUCUAUACACUUGUCCACUUGUAUCUAGCCAUCACAUCGGCUUUGGAGCGUUCUGAACUGGGCUCAUAUCAUGGCCCUCACACCUUCUCCUCAGGUGUCUCCGCUCGUCAUCAUGCGACGGUCUGAACUGGGGCUCCUCUCAUAGCCCUCACACCUUCUCUACGGUGUCUUCGCCCGUUGUCAUGGGGCGGUCGCAUCCUUCUUCAGCUGGGAUGCUUCAAAGUGGCUCCAAAAUUCUCUACCACCAUGUGCACUAUGGGAGAGAUUAUAACCACUGAUUACAUAGAAAGAGAAACUUGCGGUAUACUCCUCGCAAUCCUCCACCUCGAUUUCUAUGUUUGGAGCUUUUGUGUCUUUCUACUUGAUAGCUCCACCUACACCAACUCUCUUUGGUGUCUUCGCCUUUCAUCAUAGGCGGUCGCCUUUUAUCACAGGCGUUUGCACCCCCUCAAUUAGGUGCUUCUACAACAGCUCUCUUUCCAUCCUUGCAUGCAUUGGAAAGGUCUUCGCCUGUUGUCUUCAUCAAGAGCAUAAGAGACUUCCUGUUGUACAAACUUUAACAGUCUCUGCUCUGAGCUUCAUCUGGGAACACUUCUUCUCCUUGCACCUAUUGUCUCAUUACAGUACCUCGUUGGAUCCUACGGGUACUCCUGCACAAUCUCCGUGUGCCCUCGUGCAAUUUCUGUUCUCCAGAUUUCUCCCUAUUUCUUGCUUAUGUUUGACAGCAGCUCAUCCUGUCACAACACCUGUCCAAGUCAAAAAUAUGGUGCCAAUCUUUAUCCCCUUGCUGUAUUCCUCUUCCAUUAUCAGGGUCUUCAUCAGUUCUCCCCUCGAGAAAUCACAGUCACCGAAUCUAACUUCUUUGGAGAAAUCACCACUCCAUCAGAUCCUUGAACCUUUGGAACCCAACUAUUCCCUUGUGCCGUCAUCCUGCUAGCCUUCAACUGUUUCAUUACAAACUGCUAUAUAUACAAAAAUAGUACCGUAUGGAUAAUCCUUCCACUAAGCAAGUUCCCAGGAAAGAUUGGAGGGGUCACACUGGUCCCGCUUAAAACCCAAUCUCCUAGACAGAACUUCUUAGGACAUAUCUAUCCAUCGUACUGUCUUUUUGUAUAUACAACCAUUUGCUAGCUUUGUUGCGGCUUUCCUUUACAAGUGAUCUGGGGUAUCCCGAUUUUAUACCUGAUUUCUCAACAUCUGGCGAGACUACCAGUUCUUAGAUUCGUCAAGAUUGGUCUUUAUCAAUUUUCACUCUACACCUCUAAUUGUCCACUUGAUCGGGUGUCUAGAGUGUCCCAAUUUUGCCUUCCCUCAAGGCAGUUAAAUUUCUCCCAACUUAGCAGCUCAGCACAUGUAAUUGGGUAAACAUGUGCACCUUCUUCUUCUUCUCUUCAACGACCACCAUGAUAACCUUCAGAUGCCUCCUGAUCGGGCAAUCUCUUUUGUUAAUUCAUCACUACCACUUUCGGUCUCAAAUCUCAACGAUCGGACCAUACCAUUGCAUCCGAAACGAUCAAAUUAGCUGGAAACAAGUCUGAAAUCGUCCAAAUCGCACUUCAGACGGCUAAGAUUUGAUCAAAACAAUUCUGGCCUGAUCAAUGGCUCAGAUUCAAUCUCAGAUCCGGUUGCACGUAGGAUCAGCUACACUGGAUCCUGUCCCUCGGCUCGCGGCUCGGCUCCAAUUAGGCUCGGCUCGGCUUGGCUCGGCUCGUGGCUAAUGACGUGGUUGGUGGGUCCCACUUUGCUGACGUGUCAGUGACUGUACGCUGACAUGGCAUGCCAACUGUGCAUGCUGACAUCACACUUACAUCAGGCUGAUGUCAUCCCUGGCAUGCCUACUAUGCAUGUUGACAUCACAAUUAUGUCAUACUGACGUCAUUCAUAUCCGGGUCAGCCAUGUGGGUCGGGUCAACUGGUAUUUGGGUCGGGUCAGCCCAUCCGGGCGAAGAAGACGCGUGGGGUGCGUCUGCGCGCGUGGGCAGACGCCUUGCCGGAGAGUGAUGGAGAGUACGGCCAUGUCCGACGUCCGAUUUUGACGCCGUUUUCACCAGUGGCUUCGUCUCGGCCUCCUCUACACGGUGGUAUAGUCAAAACACCAUUUUGAGAACUUUCAUUUUUGAGCAAAAAUCAAACACCCCUUUAAACCAUGUGCUCUGAUACCAGUUGUUGGGGAUUCCGGCUCCCCCAUGCGCGGACCGGGGGUGUACUGAUAGUUGCUCAACGGAGGGUAAAGCACACUGAUACAAUAUUUUACGUGGUUCGGCAAAACCGCCUACAUCCACGGGAGAGUCCAUAUUAUUAGAGAUAUAUAGAGAAAGGAUUACAACAUACAUGGAGGAGGAGGAUCACUUCACUCAAACUCAAUUCCCAGCUCUUUUGCUACACUUACAGCUGCUGCAAUGGCAGCAGCCAUUGCAGCUCUCUCUUUCUCUCCACUCUCUUGCACACACUCACGUUCUCUCUCUCUCAUUUUUCUCUCAAAUAUAAGCCUCCUUUAUAGGCAUUUCAUGGUCAACAUGGAGGGGCCAAUAGCCUUAAAGCAUGGCAUGAAUUGUGGCACAAUUCAUGCUUCCACUUGCUUAGUGGUGGGGUAUUGCCACAAAUGACAAUAUCCUAACAAACUUCAAUUCCAGACUCUAUUCAUAGGACAUUUGAUUGAGGUCUCCACAAACAUUGAAACACCGCAAUUUUUCAUGAUAAAAUCCAAAGGAUUGGUACUUUGGUGUUUGAGGGGCUGGUAAAUGAAAGAACAGAUCAAGAGAUGACAUCCCUCUAUACCGCUGUUAUUCCUUUCAAGGUGCGUAUCAGGUGUUUGAAAAACUUCCUCAACUUAAAAAUAAAAAGGUCCUGUUUACAAUGUUUUUUAGUCCUUUACAAAUCUUCCAAUGUGUUGCGUUUACUGAAUAUGAUAGUGGGAACUUAUUUAUCAAGAAUUAACUACUCAGAAGAAAAUGUAAAGACGCAAUAAUGAUUUUUUUAUUUUAGAUUCCAUAGUCUACAAACUUGGAAGCAUACGGACCAGUCAGAAGACAACAUGUUUAUUGUAUAUGAUAAACAAUAAUAAACAUCUCAUUCUUAAAAUGAUGGUAAAUCAGAAACAACCAUCCAAUACUUGAAGAUCUGUUGAAGAUAUUUGGCCUUUGGAAAUUUUGAAGAGAACUGGAGCAGUUGCAUAUGGAUUAGCUCUUCCAUCCAAUCUUUUCAUCUAACCAUCCAGUUUUCUAUGUAUCCAUGCUUUAAAAGUAUCUUCGUGCUCCAUCACAUGUAUUGGAGCCAUAAACAGUAGCAUUUCAAGGAGAUAUGUCAUGUGAAAUCCGUUCUAAUGAGAUUGCUUCAGUGAAAGUAAUGUGAGAAGGUCAUCCAAGUGAUGAAGCAACACGAGAACCUGAGAAGAUGAUACGUAAUAAAUAUCGUUAUUUCUUCAUUCAAUCAAGCUAACAAGUUUUCUACUUAAAUUCGAGGAUGAAUUUAUUUUAACAGGGGAGGUGGAAAUGUAAACCCACCCCAUAAUAUAUAACUCAUUAUUGUUUUAUAUGUUGGCCCGUUAAUUCAAGUCAUUUUCUUCUAUCUCUCUUAUAGGAAUGUUCCUCCUUCUCCCUUUUACUGCAAAUAUUCCCCCACGAUCCCAAACCAUCAAUUGACCCUAUAACUCUCUUGUUUUGAGUAGGUUUACUUCAACUUUAUCAAGUGUUUAUAAUAUUGUUUUAUGUUUAUUUAUUUAUAUAAAAUUGUUGAAUUCUAGGCGUUAUAUGAUAUUAGUUGAUGUUAUAUGGAAUUAUUUAAAUUAAUUUGUGUGUGGGUAGUAAUAAGUGUAUAUGAAUAUGAAUUGGAGUAAGGUCAUAGAUGGGUUGGUGUGAAGCUUUGAUUAAUUGAUAUAUUUUGAUGUAAUGAGUAAAUACCUUAAGAAAUUUGAAUAUUUGAAAGAUAAUAGGUAAAUAUUGAAGAAUUGUAUAGAAAGAAUCAUAUUGAAAUUAUGAAAAAUAUGUUUUGGGGUUGAUGAUGGAAGAAUUACAGUUUGGUCCUUGCUUUUGAGAAAUUAAGAUUUUGUCCCUAAAUUCUAAAACAAUUAUAGUUUAGUCACUGGUUGUAAAUAACAAUUUUUAAGAUAUUUUCCUGAUAAAUAUCUGAGAAAUAAUGAUCAUCUAUUAUCAAUUUUUAUUGUUAUCAUUUAAAUUUAAAAUUAAUUGUAUUAUCUACGAGCACAAGUGGUACAGUUAUCAAUCGAAUUUUAGCAAAAUCAAGGAUCCAAGAAUUGGCCUCUGUAACAUAUUAGGAAACUGGCAUGCAAACCCGACAAGAUAAAAGGCAAGGGACAAGAUAAAAUGAGAAAUAAGACACAAGAAUUUACGUGGUUCACCCAAUUUGGCUACGUCCACGGGCAAGUAUAGAAGGAUUUUACUAAGUAAUGUGGGAAUUACAACCUCUCUCUACUAAUAGGAGAACAACUGAAAUCUCUCUAUUAAUAGGAGAAAACACCUCACUUACUCUCUCACAAAUACCUCACAAUUUUGUGGGAUUACUUUCCCUCUCUCACUCUUCUCUUCCUCUCUUAUGAUGUGCAAAAUAAGCUUGGAUGCACUGCCUAUUUAUAGGCAAGCAUCCAAGCAAAGGACAAAAAGGCACCAAUUGGUGCUGCAAGUGGCACCGAAUUGGUGCCCAACAUUGUUGAAUUUGCAGCACAAAUUUGGUGCCUAACAUUGUUGACUUUGCCAACAAUGCAGCUGGCUUCACAUUCUCCCACUUGAAGACUUUGAUGAGUGAAUCAAGUCUUCACACUUAAUCAUCUGUGAUUCUUCUAUCCUUUCUAUACUUGUCAUCUUCAUGCUGCUUACAUUUCUGUUAGGCCAUAAGAGGAUCUGCACCAUAUGUACUUGUCAGUGUUGACUGGUUUGGUUAAAGCAUCUGCUGGGUUUUCCUUCGUGUGAACCUUUUGAAAAUCUACACUUCCAUCUUCCACUACUUCGCGAACAAAGUGAUACUAAACAUCUAUGUGUUUUGUUCUUGAAUGAAACGCGGGAUUCCUUGCAAUAUGCAAAGCACUCUGACUAUCACAAUACAAAAGAAUGUUCUCUUGUUUGUGCCCGAGCUCCUCCAUAAGUUUCUUCAUCCAUAUUGCUUCUUUACAAGCUUGUGUAGCUGCCAUGUACUCAGCUUCUGUUGUGGAUAAAGCUACAACAGUCUGAAGUUUAGAGACCCAGCUCACAGCUCCUCCUGCAAUUAUGAACACAUAGCCUGUAGUGGAUUUUCUUUUCUCAAGGUCGCCAGCAAAAUCUGAAUCAACAUAACCUCUGACGGUAAAUUCUGAUCCUCCAUAUCAUAAUGCAACAUCUGAGGUGCCCUUGAUGUAUCUCAAGAUCCUCUUAAUAGUAUUCCAAUGCUCUCUACCAGGAUUUGCCAUGUAUCGACUAGCUACUCCCACUGCUUGUGCAAUGUCUGGUCUUGUACAUAUCAUGGCAAACAUUAAGCUUCCCACUGCUGAUGCAUACGGUACUCGAGACAUCUCCAUCCUCUCUGCUUCAUUGCUAGGAGACAUACUUGAGGAUAAUUUGAAGUUAAUAGGAAGUGGGGUGGAAAUUGGCUUACAAUCUUGCAUGUUGAAGUGUCGUAAGAUCUUAUUCAAAUAAUUCUUCUGAGAAAGCCAAAUCUUCCUCUUACUUCUGUCUCGGUGAAUUUGCAUCCCUAGAAUCUUGUUUGCUGGUCCCAAGUCCUUCAUAUCAAACUCCCUAGCCAACUGUGCCUUCAAUUCUUGGACUCGAUCUUUGUUGGAGCCUAUUACCAACAUGUCAUCCACGUACAACAACAAAAUGAUGAAAACAUCAUUUUCUUCAAACCUCUUGUAAUACGUACAAUGGUCUGAACUGAGUCUGUUGUACCCAAGGCUAAUUAUGAAGGAAUCAAAUCUCUUGUACCAACAUCUCGGCGCCUGUUUGAGACCAUAUAGAGAUUUGUUCAACCUGCAAACCAAGUUCUCCUUGCCUACUUCAGCAAAACCCUCUGGUUGGAGCAUAUAAAUUUCUUCUUCAAGUUCUCCAUGAAGAAAUGCAGUUUUCACAUCUAACUGCUCUAAGUGAAGAUCAAAUAUAGCACACAUCGCCAAGACUACUCUGAUUGUAGUAAGUCAUACCACUGGAGAAAAUAUCUCAUUAAAAUCUAUUCCUUCUUUCUGAGCAUAUCCUUUCACCACCAAUCUUGCACGAUACCGCUCCACUUGAUUAUUGCCAUCAUGCUUUAUCUUGUAAACCCAUUUGUUGCCAAUGGCCUUCCUUCCUUGUGGUAGCGGAACAAGAUCCCAAGUGUUGUUCUUGUGUAGAGCUUCAAUCUCCUCUUGCAUCGCUGUCAUCCACAUAGAUACAUCUGUGCUUUUGAUAGCCUCAUGGAAAGUUGAUGGCUCUCCAUCCUCUGUUAGAAGACAGUAUGCAAUGUUGCUCUCAGUAACAUAUUCUGAGUGCCAAGCCGAUGGUCUUCUUUCACGAGUUGACCGUCGAACUUCAGGAGUUUCAGAUUCUAUUUGUUCUUGUUCUUCAUGCUCUGGUACAGCUUCAGAAGAAGUAUGAUUCUGAGUAUUUUCCAUCUGGACUGCUGUAGUCUCCUUUGGAAUGCUAUUAUGUUCUUCCAUUUGUAUUUUACCUUCUGCAAAUAUAACAUCUCUGCUGAUGACUAGCUUGUGGGAUUGGGCAGUGGGAUCCCACAAGCGAUACCCCUUCACUCCAUCAGCAUAUCCCAAGAAUACACAUUUUCUGGAUUUUGAAUCCAGCUUGUUGACUUCUUGAGUAUUGUACAUCACGUACACAGGACUUCCAAAUAUAUGUAAUUGAGAAUAAUCAGCUGACUUUCCAGUCCACAUCUCCAUCGGUGUCUUCAGCUCAAUUGCAGUUGAUGGAGAUCGAUUUAUCACAUAACAGGCGGUAUUGACUGCUUCUGCCUAGAAUGACUUUCCUAGACCUGCAGCCUUCAACAUUGCUCUCGUUCUUUCUAAUAGAGUUCUGUUCAUCCGCUCUGCCACUCCAUUUUGCUGUGGAGUGUAUGCCGUUGUGAACUGCCUUUUGAUACCUUCAUGUUGACAGAAGUUAUCAAAUUCAUCACUGGUAUAUUCUCCUCCAUUGUCAGUCCUCAAACACUUGAUCUUCUUUUCAGAUUCAAGUUCCACCCGCGCUUUGAAAGUUUUAAAGAUUGCGAACACAUCUGCCUUCCUUCUAAUUGGAUGCACCCAACAUCUCCUGGAGAAGUCAUCUAUGAAUGAUACAAAGUAUCUUGCUCCUCCCAAGGAUACAACCGGUGCUUGCCAAACAUCAGAGUGAAUCAAGUCUAAGAUGCAUUUGCUCUUAGUUGUUGAUGUGCCAAACUUCAACCUGUGUUGUUUACUUGUAACACAGUGCUCCCAAAAAGGUAAAGUAACCUUUGUAAGCCCAGGGAGUAACUUCUGAUCAAAGAGAACUUUCAAACCUUUCUCUGACAUGUGGCCUAGUUUUUGAUGCCACAUCAUCGUCUUCUUUUCUGCAGGACUGGCUGAUGCGAUUGACGCUUCUGCCCUAUGAUGUGUUUCUCCCAUUAAUACAAACAUGUUUGCAACUAUUUUUCUCGCCUUUAAAACUACCAACGCUCCUUUGACAAUUUUCAUUAUUCCAUUGUCUGUUCGGAUCUUAUAGCCAAGACUAUCAAAUUGUCCCACAGACAAAAGAUUUUUCUUUAAGUCUUUCACAUGACGCACUCCUGUAAUAGUACGAAUUAAGCCAUCAUACAUCUUCAAUUUGAUGGUGCCAAUGCCAGCAAUCUCUAAAGCAUGAUUAUCACCCAUGAACACUUUGCCUCCAGAGAUGGGUUCAUAUGUAUGGAACCAAUCUCGAUUAGGAGUCAUAUGCCAUGUUGCUCCUGAAUCCAUUAGCCAGACCUCAGUAAGCUCUUCUCUAUCUGUAGAGAUUGUCGCUGCUUCACUAUAUAAAACCUCCCCAUCUUCUGAGGUGCUCGCAACACAUCCUUGAGGUUUUGAUGACUCUGCAGUAUUCUCUAUACCCCUUUUAAACCAACAAUCCUUUUUGAAGUGCCCUUUUCUGCCACAGUUGUAGCAUUUCACAAUCUUCUUACUUCUUGAUUUGGACCUCCCUUGCCUUUGACUCCCACUGGAGCCACGCUCCGUUGAUCUCCCUCUUGACAUCAACAAUGCCUCUGCUUGGUUUGAACUAUUUCUGUCUCCUUUAUUUUUGCGCCUAUUUUCUUCUUCCAAGAUAGCGGCUGCAACAUCAUCAAAGACUAAAUAGUCUGUGAGGAUAUUAUUGGUCAAGUUGAUAAUGAGCUGAUCAUACGAAUCUGGGAGACUUCGAAGUAGAAGUUCUGCACGUUCACUUUCCUCUAUUUGUUGACCCAACGUAGUGAGUUGUGAAAAUAGAGUUCUUAUUGUGUUGAUGUGGUCAGUCACUGCCGUGGUUUCUGCCAUUCGAAGGGUAUAAAGUCUCCGCUUUAAGAAAAUCUUAUUGUGCAAAGACUUGGACUCAUAUAGCUUUGUUAGAGUCUCUCAUAUCUCCUUAGCUGUUUUCUUCUCCGCUACACUUGAUAAUACUUCAUCGGCUAAUGCUAAAUGUAUGUUAGCAAUAGCAUUGCCAUCCAUCUCAUUCCAUUUUGCAUUAUCAGUGAUCUCCGCGGGCCGAUCCCCAAUUGCUGCCAAGCAAUUGUCUUUCCUUAAGAUUGCUUUGAUUCUCAUUUUCCAGAGUGAGAAAUUGCUCCCAUUGAACCUCUCAAUCUCAUACUUUGCUGCCAUUUUAUUCACCGUGAUCUAUUCAGCUAUCACUGUUUCACAGAUCUGUAACGUAUAUAGAAAUAGUAUCGUGUGAAUAAUACUUCACUAAGUAAGUUCCCAGGAAAGAUUGGAGGGGUCACAAAUGGUCCCGCUUAAAACCCAAUCUCCUUAGACAGAACUUCCUAGACUGUAUUUAAUCACCGCACUGACUUUCUAUAUACGCCAACAGUAACGUAUGUGAAUAGUGCCGUAGACGUGAAUAGUAACCGUAUACACGAAUAACUUUUGUGUAUUAACAACACCAACCAAAAGGCUCUGAUACCACUAUUAGGAAACUGGCAUGCAAACCCGACAAGAUAAAAGGCAAGGGACAAGAUAAAAUGAGAAAUGAGACACACAAGAAUUUACGUGGUUCAACCAAUUUGGCUACGUCCACGGGCAAGUAUAGAAGGAUUUUACUAAGUAAUGUGGGAAUUACAACCUCUCUCUACUAAUAGGAGAAAACACCUCACUUACUCUCUCACAAAUACCUCACAAUUUUGUGGGAUUACUUUCCCUCUCUCACUCUUCUCUUCCUCUCUUAUGAUGUGCAAAAUAAGCUUGGAUGCACUGCCUAUUUAUAGGCAAGCAUCCAAGCAAAGGACAAAGGGGCACCAAUUGGUGCUGCAAGUGGCACCGAAUUGGUGCCCAACAUUGUUGAAUUUGCAGCACCAAUUUGGUGCCUAACAUUGUUGACUUUGCCAACAAUGCAGCUGGCUUCACAUAACAUAGUUUGUAUUCUGAGCCAAUCUGGGGUGGGACUUGAAACAAAUGUUGUAUAUUGUUUGCACUGUCACUUUGCUUACCCUCUUAGGUUUUUAUUGAGAUUAGGGAUUCUAUUGUAGCUCUUUUUUCUCCUUUUAUUAUAAUAAAAUAAUAUCUAUGGAUUAAUUUUGGUAUAAUUUAAGAAAGUAAGUCCUUUAAUCAAAUUUUAGAUUGACCAUCCUCUAUGUGUUAAAAGUAAAUGUUAAUUUAUAAAAUAAUAACUAUGUUUAAGUCUUGAUUAACUCAGAAGAUGUCUUCUAAGACGCAUCUCUGUCUUCUCUUCUCUUCUCUUCUUCUCUAUAAAAUUCCUUUUUAGCUCUCUGAUGUACUUAAUGUCCCGGAGGUGUGGCUUCUUCAUAUGAAGAAAAUGUUAAGAUUCAAUUAUGAUUUUAGAUUUUAGAUUCCAUUGUCUACAAAUUUGAACCAUGAUGAUGAAGCAUACGGACCAGUCAGUAGACAACAUGUUUAUUAUAUAUGAUAGAGGUCCUCAAUGUAUUUCACGUUUCUAUGAGAAAUUUCACGAGACUAUGAGUACUCGAAUUGAUCUUAGUACAACAUUUCAUUCUCAAAAUAAUGGUUAAUAAAAAAGAACCAUUCAAAUACUUGAAGAUAUGUUGAUAGCAUGCAUACUUAAGUGGAGUUUGCUGGAACAAAUAUGUACCAUUGGUGGAGUUCGUUAAGAGGGGGGAACUAAUUCCUCGAUAUAUUAGGCCUUUGGAAAUUUUGAAGAGAAUUGGUGCACUUGCUUAUGGAUUAGCUCUUCCACCCAGCUUUUUCAUCUAAACAUCCAGUAUUCCAUGUAUCCAUGCUUUAGAAGUAUAUUUGUGCUCCAUCACAUGUAUUGGAGCCAUAAACCGUAGCAUUUGAAGAAGAUAUGUCAUGUAAAAUUCGACUGGAGAGAAUUGAAGAUAGACAAAUUAGAAAACUUCGUUCUAAAGAUUGCUUUAGUGAAAGUAAUGUGAGAAGGUCAUACCUGAGAAGAUGAUACGUAAUAAAUAUCGUGAUUUCUUCAUUCAAUCAAGCUAGCAAGUUUUCUAAUUAAAUUUCGAGGGUGAAUUUAUUUUAACAGGGGAGGAAAUGUCAACCCCACCCAUAAUAUAUAACCCAUUAUUGUUUUAUUGGUCCAUUUAGGUAGCCCAUUUGUUAUAUACAGAAGGAGAGAGGUAAGGACAUUGUUAGUCAUUUUCUUCUUUCUCUCUUACGGGGAAUGUUCUUCCUUCUCCCUUUUACUGCAAAUAUUCCCCCACAAUCCUAAACCACCAAUUGACCAUAUAACUCCCUUGUUUUGAGUAGGUUUACUUCAACUUUAUCUAAGUGUUUAUAAUAUUGUUUUAGGUUUAUUUCUUUAUAUAAGCUUGUUGAAUUCUAGGCCUUAUAUGAUAUUAGUUGAUGUGAUUUGGAUUUAUUCUUAAGUUAAUUUGUGUGUGGGUAGUAACAAGUGUAUAUGAAUAUGAAUUGAAGUAAGUACCUUAACAAAUGUGAUGGGUUGGUGUGAAGCUUUGAUUAAUUGCUAUAUUUUGAUGUAAUGAGCAAAUACCUUAAGAAAUUUGAAUAUUUGAAAGAUAAUAGGUAAAUAUUGAAGAAUUGUAUAGAAAGAAUCGUAUUGAAAUUAUGGAAAAUAUGAUUUUGUCCCUAAAUUCUAAAAAACAAUUAUAGUUUGGUCACUGGUUGUAAAAACAAUUAUAUUUUCAAACUUUCAAUAUAGAGAGAGAAAUAAAAAUAAAAAGGAAAAGGAAAAGGAAACAACCCCCAGCUUUCUUGUGCCCUUUCCCUUCUUUACAUGGCUUCCUCGAUCGAUGUAAAAAAGCAAACGCCCCAUUUGAUUUUCAAGCAGUAUGAGUGAGAAAGAUAGAGAGGACAAGAGAGGACAAGGGGGUCCUCUCUCUCUUUCCUUGCUUUUUUUAACGCGUGGACCCAGCAGUUGUUGCCACCAAAUUCCUUCCUCAAUAUUUACCAGUGCUACACGCUUGAGAAAUUUCCUUGUUAUUUUUUUUAUUAAUGAAAUAUUACUUUUACCGUAUAGCCAUUGAAUUCUAGAUCAAUUUAUCGGGUAUUGGGCCGGUUUGGAUUUAAUAAUUAUGAUUCACAGACAUACAACUAGUACUUGCAACUAUUAAUAUUUAUUAUUUUCAUUAAGUUUUUCAAACUUUCAAUAUAGAGAGAAAAAUAAAAAUAAAAAGGAAAAGGAAACAACCCCCAUCUUUCUUGUGCCUCUUCCUUUUUUUUUAAGUUUAAUGUUGGUGUUUGGGUCAACUUGCACGCAUCUCGACUAAUUUCAUGGGCUCUGAAGUUAACAACUAUGUAAGUCUCCAAUGACCAUCAUAUAAACAACCACGGGGCUCGAAUUUAAAACUAUAAAAAAAACAAAUCUCUUAAUCACAUGAUCUUAUUAAUGUACCACCAUUUAGGUAGUUGCCCUUUCCCUUCUUUACAUGGCUUACCCGAUGAAAAAAGCAAACACCCCAUUUUGAUUUUCAUUCCGUACGAGUGAGAAAGAAAGACAGGACAAGGUUUGUUGAGGCUUUUUUUUUGGAACCUCGCUCUGGGAUUAAUUAGCGAGAAUAAGAAAAUUCUAUGCAAAUUAUACAAAAUUUAUUAUUAAUCAUCAAUAUUUAUUCUUAUCAUCAAUAUUGAAUAAUGGUUUAUUUUCUAGUAUAAACUAUGAUGGGUUCGUUUAUAAAAAUAAAUAAAUUGAGGUUUUUCAAUUUCCUUUAAACAUAUCAUAGUUUUAAUACCAUUUAUUUUUACAUUUUAAAAAUAAUUUUUAAAAAAAUUAAAAAUAAAUUUUAUUUUUUAUUUCAAAAUAAUAUUUUUUUAAAUAUUUUUAAAUUAUCUUGAUAUAUUGAUAUUAAAAUUAAUUUUUAAAAGAUAAAUUUUUUCAAACAUAAAGUUUAGCCUGCAGAUCUUCCGCUGAUCCCAUCUCAUUGUUGUAUGCAUCCAAGCUAAGCCAAUUCAAGAAAGAAGAUUUGAAGAAUACCACCAGCAGCAGGAGUAAUACAUUAACAUAACAGCAUUAUGGCAGAAGGAGGGACGACCUCACUGCAAGGGCGAAGGCAUGUUAAAGACUUGGGCGUGCUAUAAUUUAGAUUAAAACUUUAUUAAUAUUUUUUGAUUAGUUUUAUUUAAAAAAAUUGUAAUUCUUGAUUGAAUUAUUAAAAAAAUUUAAAAUUUAUGUGGAGCUUUCUAGAAUAACGUUUUAACUUGGAUUAAAAUUUCAGAAUAUUUUGAGAAAUUCAAAAAUUUGAUGAAAAAUCAUAAUUUAACUAAUUUUAUGUUAAUUGAUGUAAUUUUCAAUCCAACUAUCAAAUUGAGCUGAAAUUUUACGAGAAAUCUUAAAAUAUAUUAAAUAAAAUAUAAUUAAAAUUUUAUGAUGAGUGGAGCUUGAUAAUACUAACAAAAAAAAUCAUCAAAUAAAAACAAAUCAAGAAUAAAAUGAUUAUUUCCAUUAAAAAGUAAAAUAAAUCAACUAUUUAUAUAAUAGCUAAAUCUAUUAAGAUAAAUCGAAAAUAACUAGUAAAAUCAAUGACUUGUAUUGACGAGUGUGUCUAUAUAUACAUAUAGGAACUGCUGAUUCGAUUUGAAUAUGUUAUUUGAUUAGUCUAAUUCAUGAUUUGCAUUGACUCAAAAUUACCACUAGAAAUUCCUAGUUUCGUGGUGCUUUCUCAGCCUGCAAAUGAAUAUAAAGCAUAUCCUUUUAUCCUAUAUAAAGAAUACAAUUAACCUUUUUAUCUUUUAUAAUUAUAAUUAUUGCAUUGCUAAUAAUUUGCACGAAAGAAUAUUGUUUCUCUGAAAAGGGCUUGAGAAAACCCUAAGCAUAGUAUAUAAUCUCUUAUAGGAAUCUCUUUAUUAAAUUAUCAAAAUAUCAAAGUCUGUUUCCAAAGACUAUGACUACAGUUUAUAUAUAGAAACAACCAAAUAUAAAAAUUAUUAAUUUUUAAAUAGAAAAACCAGAGAGCUUGAUAAUAUUUAAUAAAAAAAAUAAAAUAGAAAAAUUAUUCCUUUUUAAGUAGAAAAAAAUUAUAAAGAUUUAAUAAUACUAAAUAAGAAAAAUUAAAAUUUCUACACUAAAUUAAAAAAACAAAAAAAAAACUGAGAAAAUAUUUAUUAUCCCAAUAGUUCUUAUAUUAAAAUCUCAUUUAUCAUAUGUUAUAUCUAUCAAAAUAAUAAUAAUAAUAACUUGUGACUUGAACUAAAGCUACAUGCGAAAACUAGAAAAACCCGGUAGAGACCCGUUCUGUUUUUUCAAAUAUGUUUUUUCUUCUAGCUAGAGACCUUUUUUUUUAAUAUAUUUUUCUAUUGGUUACUAAACCAUUUCAAAGUUCACUAUAUAAAUACUAGAAGAAUAUUUUAUUUUUUCAAUAUGGAAUAAAAAAAAUCAUUUUUGUUUACAUACCUCAAUUUAAAAGAAUUAGAUAAUAUUUUUUUAAUAUGAGAUAAAAAAACCUUUUGAAAUAAUCUUUUAAACUUUAUUAUAUGCAACAUGUAUAAUCUAUAUUCAUAUAAAUUAUUUCUUUAAUUUUUUUCAUUCUCAUAUUCAAACUUCCAAUAUUGAGAGAGAAAUUAAAAGGAGCAAAAGGAAACAACCAGUGAGGACAAUAUCCUCCAGCUCAUCAUCAGAUCCCACGAAAGGAACGCAGAAAGACAUUCCCUUUCUUGUCAUCAAGUUUUGAAUCAAAAAGUACUUUCGUGCAUUAUUGUCAUAAAGUUUUUCAAACUUCCAAUAUAGAGAGAGAAAUUAAAAGUAAAAAUAAAAAGAGCAAAAGGAAACAACCCCCACCCCAUCUUUCUUGUUCCCUUUUCCUUCAAUGAAAAAGCAAGCACUAAUGCACCUUCUCCACAAACUACCCCCCAAUUUCGCCACUAUAUAAAUAUAUUAUGGAAAACAAGAUAAAAAGAAAUCUUUCGGUACAUCUAUAUAUAUAUAUAUAUAUAUAUAUUAUGGCUAUGAAAAUAGGUUUGUGGAAAUUUACAUGGUUUGAUUUUGACAGUGUCAGAUUAGACAAUUGCAUGGAAAUGGUCUUCUUAGUUUGCCGUGUGGAAAAUCAUGUCAUUUACGGGACUGCUGGAGAGAGUUUCUAUUGAUAAUUUCACUCGAAAAGUUUUAGUAAUUUACAAAGGAAAUUUCUCCUUUAUAUGAAUUGAAAAACUAUUAUUGACUGACUUCUUGCAAAGUAUUUGCAAGAAAGCUAAAGAAUUAAAGUUUUUCAAUUUUGAAAAUUAUAAUUUAAAAUUUUUAGAAAAAAAUCAAUUAUUUUUAAAAUUGUUUUCAAAAAUACACUACCAGAAAUUCAUCUAAUACCAACGGACUUACCGACAGAAUUAUUCUGUCGGUAAAUUGCGGUGAUAAUUACUGACGGAUACUAAUCCGUCUGUAAUUCAGUUGGUAUAUACCGACGGAAUUAUUCCGUCGGUAUAUACCGACUGAAUUACAGAAGAAAGAUAUAGAAUUAAAAAAAAGCGGGGAUGUUGACGUGACAGUUUUUGCGGGCGAUUUUACCGACGGAAUCAACGAGGGAUUCAAACCCUGAUUUUGUUUAUGAGCAAUUUUGACUAUCUUAGAGGUAGAACUAGGUUCUCUUUAAUCAUAGAACUUGUAGCCUCAUGUCUUAGCUUUCUAACAAGACUAAUCUUGCUUAAAUCGGAGUUUUAUAACUCCAGAUAUAGUUAAAAAUAUGAGGAGAGGUCAGACAGUAACAGUUCAAUGUUUAGACAGUAACAGUUCAAAAAUGAGACAGUAAUAGUUGGACAGUAACAGUUCAAGAACGAGACAGUAACAGUUAAAAAAUGAGACAGUAACAGUUCAAAAAUGAGACAAUAAUAGUUGGACAGUAACAGUUCAAAAAAGGAGACAGUAACAGUUAAAAAACGAGACAGUAACAGUUCAAUGUCUAGACAGUGACAGUUCGGGAUUUAAACAGAAACGGUUCAAAUAUAUAUAUAUAUAUAUAUAUAUGUGUGUGUGUGUGUGUGUGUGUGUGUGUGUGUGUGUGUGUGUGUGAAAUGAGAAAAAUGUAAAAUAUUAAGAAAUGACUGAAAGAAAGACUUAUUGGUUGUUGAUAUGGUUAUAAUAAAACAUAUCCUUGAGUGAGGAAGUAGAGCUUCUAUUGCAGGUAGGUAAUCCGUACCUAUACUUUCUAGUUUAAUUCUAUGAUUUAAUAAGUUAUUGAUGUGAGAUGUGAAUUACCGAAUAUGGGAUAUUAGGAUAAAGGAGGAAAGUUUGCGUAAUGAUGCCGAUAUUUGGAAAGUAUUCUUAAUGUAUGUGUAUUCAAGGUGAACGGUUGUUCUGUGAAUUGCCAAGUGAUGAAAUUAUAAUUGAUAAAGAAAAUAUGAGAAGUGUGAUUUGGGGCGUGAACUAGCAUACAUUUAGUGUAUGUUAGGAUCCCGGGUAAGGGGAUCAAGAUGUAUUGGCUAGCAUACAUUUAGUGUAUGUUAGGAUCCCGGGUAAGGGGAUCACCAUGUAUUGGCUAGCAUACAUUUAGUGUAUGUUAGGAUCCCGGGUAAGGGGAUCACCUUGCAUCGACUCCUACAUGAUGAUGAUGAUGAUAACAGUGAAAUUGGUAUCGGUAAUGUGUUAAGCGGAAAUAAUCAUGGGUGGUUUUAUGAGAUCUUGAAUGGAGGUUGAUAAUAGAAGAGGAAAUGGUUUUUAGUAGUUGAAGGAGAAAAAGUCUCCAAUAAGAACCAAAAGGGAGAAGUGAAUAAAAUAUGAAUGUAUGUUGCCUUUUUAAAUUGCUGGAUAUUUGUAUUGCUAUAUUAUUGUGAUAUUCAUAUUUCAAUAAUAUGUAUUUUAUUUUCAGGACCAUCGCAUGCAUGACAGGAGUAGAUUUUGGCUUAGGUUCUUUUUUUGUAAUUUAGGUUCUAAGGAGUAUACCCUUGUAUUUGGUAAUAUUACAACUUUUAUUUAACUUAAUUUGUAUAAUUGAUGUUUAAACUUGAAUAGAUGAACUUAAUUCGGUAGUUUGUAUAACUAUGUUCCAUUAAGCAUGUUUAUAUCUUUAACCAUCCAUAAUGAUAAUUGUUGUACAAUGUAUAUCAUCAACAUUGUGGUUGAUAUGAAUGGUGAUGUUUGUGGGAUUGAGACCUAAGAUGAUUAGGCUGAAUUGAGUUGGAGAUGCGGUAUAUUAGAAGUGUAAACAGGACGUAUGUCGAUAACUUGGGACCUCCCGGUAUAGGGGAUACUCUGUUAAAAUUUCACUAGACUUUAAUGCAAAUACCAUGAAUAGAUAUAUAUAUAUAAAAUUUAGUCACUCUGUUUAUCAGCUAACAUGAGAUCGUUGCUUUAUCCCUGAUAUGGGAAUGUUACAGGUUCGAUAGAAGUCAUGGAUGAUUGUUCAUGGAUGUAUCGAGAUCCAUGUGUUAAUUUUGACAACAUGUAUUAAUUAAGAUGACAACAUGUAUUAAUUAACUAACAUAGUUAACUAAUACAUGUUUUCAUCAUAAUUUUAUAGAGGUUCGAUAAAAGUCAUGGAUGAUUGUUCAUGGAUGUAUCGAGAUGCACCCCAUGGAUUGCAGAGGAUUCUUUGAAGAAAAUUCAAAUUUUCAUGUUUUCGAUAAUAGUCUUGUUGAUGUUGACGCAGAGGAGUUGAAUGUUGUUUUGAGCUCUAACGGACAAGCAAAUAUCGAUGAAGAUGAUGAUUAUGAUGACAUCCAUAUUGAAGAUUGCGAUGGAGCUGAUGACUAUUCAAUUGAUGACGAAGAAGAAGAAAAUUCUGACUAACUAGCAGAAUCAAGGAAAGUGCAAAGCAUUUUUCUAAAAUGUAAUAUGUAUUAUCGAUGAUAUUUUGUAACAUGAAAUAUUUAUUUGAUAAGUGUUUAAGUGUUUUUGUGUGAUGGGCAGUUUGUAAUUUAAGUGUUUGUAGGAAGGUAAAUAGGCAAUACAAACAAAAGUUUUCAUGCACAGUGCACGAUCACCAACGUCCAUACCGAUGGAUUACAUUUCGUCGGUAUUGCACAGAGAGCUGUAAAAUAUUUAUUGGAAAUGCCACAAUCACCGACGACUUUGCAGAUGGAUUACCGUCCGUCGGCAUUCAACAGAGAGGUUCACUGGAAAUGCCACAAUCACUCACCGACGACUUUGUAGACAGAUUAAAGUCUGUCAGCAUUCCACAGAGAGGUUCACUGGAAAUGCCACAAUCACCGACGACUUUGCUGAUGGAGUAGAGUCUGUCGGCAUUCCACAGAGAGUGGUGGAAAUGCCACAAUCACCGAUGACUUUGCAAACGGAUUACAGUCCGUCGGCAUUGUGUCGGCAGCUCACAAUUAUCGAUAAAUUCACCAACGAACGGUGUGAAUUCCAAAGGACGGGUAAUAAAUGCAUAUCUGAUAGCGUGCAGCUGCCGACGGAAUUACCAACGAACUGCGAAAAAUAUGGAGGGUAAUUAAAAAAUUCUGGAGCAAAAUUCAAAAUUUACCGACGGAGUUAAAUGUUCGUCAGUGAAUCCGUCGGUAAAAUUACGAUAUAAAUGCCAGCGACCGCCCUUUGAGUUCAUUUUUUCAUCUCCUUUGUUUUUAGAGCUUAACUUUUUGUUUUUUUUCCCUCUCAUUUCCUUCAAAUCUCUUGUUUUUUCUUGUAAUCUCUAGUUAUAUCUUCAGCAAAUUAAAAGGUAUGUAUUUCCUCUACUUAAUUUGCUUUAAGAUUUUACUUUUUUAUUUGUUCUUUGUUUAGCAAUUGUUAUUUUUGUUAUGUUUUUUGUUUUGGUGUAUUUUCAUAAUGUAGAUAAAGUCUUACAAUAAACACAUUAUUAAGGUAAGCAUUUUUCAUUCUUAAAGUCUAUAGUUUUUUUUUUAACUUGUUCAAUAUAUUUUGUUGUUUGUUUUGCCAUAAUAAUUAGGGGUGAGCAAAUUCGGUUCGGUUCGGUUUUUAUCUAAAAAACUAACCAAAAUCAAAUUUUGAAAAACUUAAAAAUUCAAACCGGACCCAAACCGGAACCGGUUCAAACCGACCGGUUUCGGUUCGGUUCGGUUCGGUUUUUUUAUCAGGAAAACCGGAAAACCUGUAUUAUUGUUUUUUUGGGCUUUUUCGGGCUUUUUAAUGGGCUUUCUGAUGGGUUUUCUGAUGGGCUUGUAAUUAAUGUAAAUAUCAUCUAAUUUUGUUACAAAAUUCUAUAAUAUAUUUAAUAUUUUUUAUCACUAAAUAUUCAUUUAUAUUAAAUUAUUAGUGCUAAUAUUAUGUUUAAUAUGUUGCACAUCUUUCUAAUAUUUAUAUUUAGGAGUUUGGACUCCUCAUGCAUCAAAAUUUAAAUAACACACACACCAAAUUAAAAUUAAAAUUACAAAGCAUUGCCUUCAAAAUGGGCUUAAAAAAACAACAAAUAACAUUGCCAUAAAAAAUAAAAUACUUCAUGCAAAAAAUAUAAAUCUUCAUUGUGCACAUCAUCUCAAUCAAAAAGCACAACAAGAUGACAAGAACAUUGCACUUUGAUUCCGUAAUACCAUUGACAUCAAAACCUGAAAAUCAAGAUCUAAAAUUAUAACAUGAUAAAAUAAAUUAGAAUAUGUAAAAAUAAAUAGUAGUAUUUUACCAUCAAAGUAACUUUUGAACUAAUUAUCAUUUGUUACUAAAUGUAACUUUCCACCAAAUUCUACAAAAUAAAAAAUUAGACAUGUUAGAUGAUUGCAAACAAUUUAAUUAAUAAAUAACAAAAUAAAAGGUGCAAAUUUCUAAAAACAAUUACCUGACUCAAGGUUUUCGUAGGUUUCAAGAUCAUUUAUCAAGCUUCUAAUAUCAGUUGGAAUUGAUCCAUGAUGAAACCAAUUUUGACAACAAAUGAGUGCUUGAACAGUUGCUGGAGAUAGAGAACUUCGAAAUUGAUCAAGUACACGACCACCUGUGCUAAAUGCUGAUUCAGAAGCCACUGUAGAUAUAGGAAUAGCCAGAACAUGUUGUGCAACCUUUGAAAGUGUCUUAUAUUUCAAAGCAUUACUUUUUCACCAACCCAAAAUAUCUAACUUAUCAUCAUUACGAUCCUCACAACCUUCAAUCAAAUACCUCUCAACCUCAUUUUUAUUUUCCACACUAUCCACCUUCAGCAAAUGUCUUUUGAAUCGAGCCAAAGUGUUAACAUCUACCUCCACAUCAUCAAUAGCAUUAACAUCCUGUUUAUGCCUAUUAUUAUCCACCACUUCAUCAAUUUUCAAAUAAAACUCAUACAAGCUCACCAAAGUAUCUUUCACCUUAUUUGUUAGCAAUUGUGCUUUGUCAUAAUCAUACAAAUCACCAAAACAAAAUUCCACAUAUUUCAACUUCAAACAUGGAUCUAAGACAUUAGCCACAUAUAACAAAAAAUUCUGAUUUACUUCACAACCCCAAUACUUCUCAAACUUUAACAUCAUCUUCAUCGCCAUUCCACUUUAACAAGUUUGUAUGCAUGUAAAUCAAUUCAUUGAAGAAAGAAUUUGAUGUGACAUGCAAUGAGCCAGAAAAUAUCAAUGUAACCAUAUAAAAGAUCUUUAAGAACUUAACCAAAGUUCUUGCAUUUUCCCAAUCCUCCAAACUAGGUGGCCCUAUGUUUUUUUUAUUCCCCUUUGAAUCAACCUCCAAAAAGUAACUCAUAUACCUAAGUUCUCUUUCACCUAACCUCACAAAUACCUUUUCAAACUUUUCAGCAGCUUCUAGCAUAAGAUAAGUUGAAUUCCAUCGAGUUGCAACAUCUAAACACAAUGAUUUCUUACACUCUAUAUGCAACUUUUCAGCACACUUCUUAAAUGCAAGAUGCCUCAACGGUGAAGAUCUCACAAACCUAAUGGCAUUUCGAAUCUUAACAACUGAAUCAUUAAUCUCUUUCAAGCCAUCACACACAAUGAGGUUUACAAUGUGUGCACAACAUCUAACAUGCAGGUGCUCAUUUGACAAUAUAUUAGUUGGCCAAUCUUUCAUCACAUUCUUUAAAUAUGAAAUGGUCACAUUAUUAGAGCUUGCAUUGUCUAAUGUAAUAGUCAACAGUUUAUCAAUCCCCCACUCCAACAAACAAUUCUCAAUAACUUGGCCAAUUGUCUCACCCAUAUGAUUGGAAACUUGACAAAAAUUAAGAAUUCUUUUAUGCAAAUUCCAGUCAUUAUCAAUCCAAUGAGCUGUUAAACAAAUAUAGUUAAUAUUUUGGAUUGAUGUCCAUGUAUCUGUUGUCAAGCACAAUCGUUGACCCCUAAGAGCUGUCCUCAAUCUAUCCUUCUCUUCAACAUAAAGUUUCAAACAAUCUCUCAUAAUUGUAAAACGAGAAGGAAUGUCAAAUCUAGGUUGUAUAGUCCUAGCAAACAAUUUAAAUCCCCGACCCUCCACAAAAUUAAAAAGCAACUCAUCAAUUAUAACCAUCUUUGCUAGUGCUUGUCUACAUUCAUCAUAAUUAUAACCUAUUGCCUUAAGACUUCCCACAUUUUGUUCUCCCAAUUCACCCUUCUCUAUCUUAGGUUCUAAUACCAAAACCUUUUGUUUCUUAUCAAUCACAAAAGGGAACUUCUUGUACACUUUUAAAUGACUCCACAUAUUACUUGUGCCAUUAACAAUAGUAUGACAUGCAUAAUGUUUUCCACAAUAAUUACAUUCAGCUCUAGGGGUUUUAGGAUCAACAUCAAGUUUUGUAAAGUGAUCCCAAGUUUGUGACUUCUUUUUAUCAUCAGCAUUUCUUUUCCUAGAUGAAAGGACUUGAGGUUGUUUACCUUGUGUAUCUGUGGUGGAUCCUGCAUUGGUUGAUUCUACAUUAGGUUUUGAAGUUGGAGAAGUAGUUGAUGUUGGUGUAGUGCCUGUGGAUGAAGCAUUUUGAAUUUGAGUAGUUUCCAUCUGUUAUUAUAUAUGAAAACAUGUUAAAAACCAAUAAUUUAUAAUAGAUUAACAACAGUAUGACAUGCAUAAGUUCAACUGUAAUUUUAAAGAUUAUUUUCACAAGUUAAGUUCUUUUAUUUUGGUUGAUAUGUUGUAAAAACAAUUAUGUUGCUGAGUGCUGAGAUUGUAUUUUGUAAUUUCAAUAGACAAUAAUACAAUACAAUAUAUAUAUAUAUAAACAUUAUUCUCUUUUCAAUAAAUAAAAAAAAUUCAGUUUUCAGAAUUGAUAAAUUACAAUCCACCGAAUCCCCCCUCUUUUUUUUAACACAGAUAAUAAACAUUAUUCUCUGUUUUUUUAGCACACAGCAUUGACAGCACACCAUAAUAAUGGAUUAGCAAUAAUAUUUAAAACAAAUGCCUCUCGGGGAAACUGUAUUUUCCCAUUUUUCUCCCUAAUGUAAUAUCAGGCUCAUAAUACCAAUUCACCGCAUUGGUAUUGCAAGUUUUUAUCAUUUGUUUAGUAUCAUUUUCUUCUUCAGUCAUUUGGCUAUUGACAUAAUGAGAUAAUUUUUCUAAUCUUUUACCAGUACUCCACCUUAGAGUAUGAGUGGAAUUCAAUCUCUAAUGUCUAGCUAAAAGCCUAAAACGGCACAAAGAGGUUUCUUUAGUAAUGAUCAAGUUUUACCACUACCAGUGCCAAUUAUUCCCAUUUCUUUCAGUGAUGUGCUGUUAGCUUUAGCAUUUGGAACAAUCAUAACAUAUUGUCUUUCUCAUGACCAGUGCCAUUUCUACCAGUGCCAAUUAUCUGUGUUUUGUAUAUUAAAUUAACAUGCAAGAGUUUGUAUAUUAAAUUAACCCUCAUUCCGAUAUUAAUCUAGAUUCCAUUAUUUUUUCAUUGCUACUCAUGACCUUAAUAAAACACGAAUUCAUUAACAUAUUGUCUUUCUCAGCAAAGAAAAAACGCAUUGUCUCUGUCAUAAAUCUCUUCUUAAGAAGUUUAUUAAAAAAUAAACAGAAUCACAGAGCAAUAGAGCAUAUGUUCAAAAAAAAAACAGAGACAAAAAAAAAAUCAUACCUGGUGUGACACGAUUCAAGGUCGGGUGUGAGAGAGGGAGGUGACUGCCUCACUGGUUCGCUAAAUCUGGAGUUGGACUCUGGAGGUUCGGUGAGCCGGUGUGGUGUGUGUCCUACGAUUCAAGAUCAGGUGUGACCGUGUGAGAGAGGGACGUGGCUGACUGGGGUUUGAAGAUGAAGAUGGUGGCCGGUGGGAGAGGGAUGUGGCUGACUGGCGUUUGAAGAUGAAGAUGGUGGGAGAGGGAUGUGGCUGACCGGCGUUUGAAGAUGAAGAUGAAGAUGGUGGGAGAGGGAUGUGGCUGGUUGUGGUCCAGUAGAUGAAGAUGGAUUGAUUUCUUACAUAUGUGAAAUUGUGAGUUGUGAGUUGAGGGAGCGGCUUAGGAGAAAGGAGAAGGACGGCUGGAGCAGGAGUAUGGAUGCUAGGGUUAAGAAAAACAACGCGAUUUUUUUUGUAGCUAUUUAUAGUACCCCUUAAACCGAACCGGUUCGGUUCGAUUGGGGUUUUUCCGGUUUCAGGUUUCUAAAACCGAAACCGAACCGAACCAAACCAAAAAUUUUUACAAAAAAUUUAAUCGGUUUUUUUGGUUAUUUUUUUUUCGGUUUUCUCGGUUUAUUCGGUGUCUCGGUUUUUUUUCUCACCCCUAAUAAUAAUUGAACACUUUGUUGAAUUUUAAUUGUUAUUGUUGAAUUUACCUUGCAAUUAGUAAUUGAAUACACUGGAAUGAAUUUAAUUAUUUUAUCUCAAUUUUACUGUAUUUUUGCAUGAUAUGUGUUUAAUUAUUUUGUUGAAUUUUAAUUGUUAUUGUUGAAUUUACCUUGUAAUUAGUAAUUAAAUAUAUUGGAAUAAAUUUAAUUAUUUUAUUUCAAUUUUACUGUAUUUUUGCAUGAUAUGUGUUUAAUUAUUUUGUUGAAUUUUAAUUCUUAUUGUUGAAUUUACCUUGUAAUUAGUAAUUGAAUAUAUUGGAAUGAAUUUAAUUAUUUUAUCUCAAUUUUACUGUAUUUUUGCAUGAUAUGUGUUUAAUUAUUUAGUUGAAUUUUAAUUGUUAUUGUUGAAUUUACCAUGUAAUUACUAAUUGAAUAUAUAAGAAUAAAUUUAAUUAUUUUAUCUCAAUUUUACUCUAUUAUUACAUGAUAUGUGUUUAAUUAUUUCCAUUAAUUUUAAUUGUUAUUUGUAUAGAUGUUAGGUUAUAUGUAAGAUUUUUGAAUGGGGGUCAAUUGGUUGUGGCUAUUGUUAAUAUUUGAAGGUUUGAAAACUUUGGGUAGUCUCCAGUAUAGAAGAGACGCUGCUGAAUUUUUUUUAACAAUCGAAUUUAAUUAUAUAAUUAUUCUUAUAAAAUUGCGUAGAUGUGUAUAAUGAAAUCAACUGUUCGUCGCUCACAUAUGGUCGCAGCUAGUUCUUCUAGCAGCAAGAAUGACAUUUCCUUAGGUGUCAAUCAAGAAGAGGUACCUGCACCACCUACCGAUGCUGCCUCUUGCAGCACGGUUUCACAGCGCAGAGACGGCGUGCCUUCACAGUGGAAUCAAUUUACUUACAAGUACGAGGCACAAUGGAAGAACGAUGUUUCAAUGUAAGUUUGUUUUGAUUUUAGUUUUUUUUUUAAUUAUAACAUAAUUUAUGAACAACUAAUCAAUAUUUCAUUAAUUUAAUUUAUUUUCAGGUUCACAAACAUUGAGACCGUCCGAGUAAUAUCAUCGGCGUUUAAAUCGUCGAUGGAGAUUCCAUUAUUUCAAUGGAGUUAGGUAUCCAGACAUCCUGAAUGGAUACCUAAUAUCGAUGCAUGGUUUGAUAAAUUUGAGGUUGGUGUUAAUUUCUAAUUUCCAGCUUAUUUUUAAUAAAUUAUUAAUAUAAUUAUAAAUAAAUUAUUAUUUUUAUUUUAAAUAAAUUAUGUAUACGUGGCACAAAUUCGAGUAGGACAGCACACAUGAUAAUAUUGUGAGGAGGGUGUGGGAAAAUCAUGCGGCAACUAAGUAACAUCGAAAACAAUAUGAUAUUUUUUAAAAAAAAAAUAUGUUUUAAAAUCUAAUUUGUUACUAUGGAAGUAGGUUGUGUGAUUUUUGGUAUGAAGCACAAAAAAAGGUAAAAAAAAAAAAAACACGAGAGAUAGAGGUCUCCAAGGCUAGAACGACGUGGCGGUUUGGGGGGAUUUCAAACCGCUACACAUCCCGGAAAAUAUUUGGCCGGAAUAUAUUGAGCACGUGACGUCUGAGCGGUUCACACGACGCUCAAAGUCUGGUGCUGACAACCGGAACAGGCAAAUUCAUGGUUCACUGACAACGCACAUCGACGGCUCCGUAUCGUUUGCUACACAUGCAAAACGGAUAUAAGAUUAAUUUAAAUGAAAUAUAUCGUUAAAUAAUUUGUUGUUACUUAAUUAAUUUUUUUUCUUACAGGCUACGUCUCUUGGACGUGAGCCGAGCCCAAUGGAGCUGUUUGUAGAGACGCACAUGCGGAGUCAAGACCGCCAAAAGGGGGUGCAACAGUUCGUUGACAACCGCGCUCAACACUUUGUGGUAUGUUCGUUCAACCAUUUUAUUUCGUAAGUUAUUAUUUUUAUUGAAUUGAAUAUGAUGAUUUUUUUUUAUUUUCAGGAUACCUAUAAUAGUCGUUGAGGGAGAGAUAUAGGGACGAUCCUUCAAUCCAUCCGGAUUUCAAUCCGGAUUUGUGGAUGGCGGUAGGAUCGUCCGGUGGACUCGAUAAAAAUCAGGUGUAUGGGCUCUCCAACACCACGGCCGAGAACUUGCGAGCGGCCAGUAGUGCCUCAACCGUUGGGAGCUCCCAAUCUAAGGAGUCCGUGGCCUUGCAGCAACACACGAGUCAUCUCACCGAGAAAUACGAGCAACUCUCGACGAAUUAUGAACUUCGCCAAAUUAUCAUGAACAUGACAUCACAGAGUGACUUUAUGGUCUCGGGAAAAACCAGCCUCCUCCUCCUCCUCCUCCUCCAGCCCCGCCAUUCUGCUAAUUUAAUAUUUUUUUGGAAACACAUUCAAUUUGUAAUGAAUAUUAUUUAACUUUAUUUUUUUAUUUUUGAUGUUUAAUAAAAUUUUAUUUGCAUAAUAGUUUUUUUUACUAUUAAUUUACAUAUUUUUAUAUUAUUUAUUCUAAAUAAUUUUUUAAAAAACAAAUUUAAAAAACCCCACCAACAGAAUUCAUCCGUCGGCAUUUUACAGAAAGUUGAAAGAUAUUUACUAAAAAAGGCCACAAUCACUGAUGUCUUCACAGACGGAUAGUGUCCGUUGGCAUUUUACUUAGAAUCAAAAAAUAUUUACUGGAAAUACUAUAUUCACUGAUAUUUUCACAGACAGAUUUAUUUCGUUGGUAAAUACCGAGAGUUCAAACAAUGACUUGCAUUGACGAGUGUAAUAAUCUGGAACCACUCGCAAUAAAUAAAGCCACAAAAGGCAGACGAGAGUGUCUAUAUAUAUACAUAUAGGAACUGCUGAUUCGUGGUGCUUUCUCCUGCAAAUGAAUAGAAGACGAGUGUGUCUAUAUAUAUACAAAUAGGAACUGCUGAUUCGUGGUGCUUUCUCCUGCAAAUGAAUAGAAAGCAUAUCCUUUUAUCCUAUAUAAAGAAUACAAUUAACCUCAUUUCAAUAUCCUUGCUUUACUCUUCAGCUAACUUCUCUCUCCCAUUGCUGAAAUUUCAUAGCUAACUCUUUGUUAUAUAGAGGUAUAUAUGGCUAACUCUUCUUUGCUUCUUUCGUGUUUUAAUUUCAUGUCUUUACCAUUAACAAUAAUGUGAAAGCUUUGUUUGUUUCAUGUUUAACUUCAGUUGCUAUUGUCUUAUGCUCUCUCAUUAUUAAGCUUAAACUGUUGUAUCAUCUUCGAUGAUCUUGACAUGUAUCUCUUACUUGUAUUAGCAAGAGAGUAGAUACCUUCUGCAAUUGCUCCAUUGCUAAUUGACUGUGCCUUGAUUUCUGCAGCUGCCAUGACAGAGCCGGAGUCUUCUCGAUCUAUAUCACUAGGGGCCUAUGAUGUCUUCUUGAGUUUUAGAGGAGAAGACACUCGCAAGACAUUUACAGAUCAUCUCUAUACUGCCUUGGUCCAAGCAGGAAUCCACACUUUUCGAGAUGAUGAUGAACUUCCGAGGGGAGAAGAAAUCUCCGAUCAUCUCCUCAGGGCAGUUCAAGAAUCGAAGAUAUCCAUAGUUGUCUUCUCAAAAGGAUAUGCUUCUUCUAGAUGGUG